CUCUAAUAUUAUUCCGGAUUAUAUAUUUUACGGAAUAUAUACAGUGUAAGUAUUAGAUAUUAAAGGGAUUUAUUCCUUCCUAAAAAAUAGGUAAAUAUGUAUCAAUGGACUAUGUAUUAGUAAGCACAGGAUGCAGAAUAUAUGU
This 145-nucleotide non-coding RNA is filed under the name human gut metagenome. RNAcentral describes it as "RT-14 RNA". It matches the Rfam family "RT-14 RNA". From Rfam's summary of the family: Cloacimonetes, Firmicutes, Proteobacteria. Nearby to self-splicing intron genes The record is from RNAcentral.